UUAUAAUUUUUUAAUAAGAAUAAUUAUCCAUAAAUCUUUUAAAAUUUUAAAAAUAUCUAAUUUUAUUUUUGAUAUAUUUCUCAUAUAUUUCUUUUUUUCUGUAUUAAAACUUGAGUUAAAUAUCUCUUUUGUUUUUAACUUAAGAGCAAGUAAGAAAAAUUUGGUAAUAAUUGAUAGAAGAGUAUAUUUAAAGAGAUCAAAAAUUAAAAUAUUUUUUAUUCCUAAUUUAAGGACAAAUAAAAAAAAAUUGAUAAUGAUGGGAGGCUAUAUUUGAAAAGGUAAAAGGUGAUAUGUUUCUAUUUAUCAUAACUCAUGUCACAUUUGCGUCUAAAAGUGGAUGUAUGACUAGCAUUUAUCGUUUUAAAAUGGCCAAAUUGCAUGAUUGGCCCUCAUACACUAUUUUAUUAUAAUUUAUGAAUUUAUAAAUAUUUUGUUGGCUUAAAAGAGGCCAACAUUCUGUCCUGUGACGAAAGAUCAUGUUGGAUCGAGUCACAUUUGAAAUGACAGGAGAUCGGGUUGGAUCGAGCCAUGUUCGAAGUGACGUGAGGCUGGCUAGACUGAGUCACAAUCGAGGCCAGCCGUUGUAUUCUAAAAACUUAAGCUGAUAGAUAAUGGUGGGCUCGAGACUUUUUGUAGGCUCCAUGAUAUGAACUUGAAUUAAAUGGGAAGAAACUAAUAAUGCUAGGAGCCAGAUGUGAUUUGAAUUUAAAACUUCCUAUUUUGAUACCAUAUUAAAAAAUACGAAACAAUCGUUGCACUCUAAAAGCUCAAGCUGAUAUAAAAUGAUAUUUAAAUAUUUUUAUAUUUAACACUAUAUAUCUUUUGCUAGUUAUUUUCAAAUAAAAUUAUUUUUCAAAGAAAAUAUAUUAUCUCCUAGUUAAUAU
This 884-nucleotide long non-coding RNA is filed under the name Ananas comosus (pineapple). RNAcentral describes it as "long non-coding RNA (ACOM_LNC032321)". Lineage: Eukaryota; Viridiplantae; Streptophyta; Magnoliopsida; Poales; Bromeliaceae. The record is from RNAcentral.